CUCACUCAUCUGUUCGUGUUGCUUCUCAGUUUCCUCAACUUUUUUAUAAGUUCCAAAUUUAUUGUUCUAGGCUACUUGAUAAGAAAAAUUCACACAUAUGAUAUAAUCAUGAUGAUAAUGAUUAUAUUUUUUUCUUAUGCAGGGUUUGAAAGUAAAGAAGAAUCUGCUAACUGGACGAAUCUGAUAAAAAAAUCUGAAAAGGUAUAUUAUUUUUCUUUUGUUCUUCUUCUUCUCUUCUUUGGAAAAUUAUAAUUUGUUUCCUUCUGUUUAUGACUUGAGUAUUUUCUUUGUUAGAAUUCAUUCUUUUCUGUGGCAAAUGAAGAAUCACUUGCAUAUUUAAAGGAGUAGAAGUCUCGGGAAAAAACAGAUGAUGGAAAAUUCUUCAAUAAUCAAUUGAGUUUCAGGCUACAAAUGGAGACCGAAGAUGAAGAUAAAAAAAGAAGAAUUCUUUUUAAUUUACAAUCCUUUUCUCUACAUGAAUUCAAGUUAUUUCAUCUUCAUGCUUUUUGUGGAGUCUAUGUAUUUUUUUUCUUGUUCUUCAGAUUAUCGUCAAU
RNAcentral lists this long non-coding RNA (554 nucleotides) under Brassica napus (rape). RNAcentral describes it as "long non-coding RNA (BNAP_LNC027061)". The record is from RNAcentral. Lineage: Eukaryota; Viridiplantae; Streptophyta; Magnoliopsida; Brassicales; Brassicaceae.